RNAcentral lists this transfer RNA (85 nucleotides) under Candidatus Eiseniibacteriota bacterium. RNAcentral's name for it is "tRNA-Tyr". It matches the Rfam family "tRNA". Rfam says of the family: Transfer RNA (tRNA) molecules are approximately 80 nucleotides in length. Their secondary structure includes four short double-helical elements and three loops (D, anti-codon, and T loops). Further hydrogen bonds mediate the characteristic L-shaped molecular structure. tRNAs have two regions of fundamental functional importance: the anti-codon, which is responsible for specific mRNA codon recognition, and the 3' end, to which the tRNAs corresponding amino acid is attached (by aminoacyl-tRNA synthetases). tRNAs cope with the degeneracy of the genetic code in two manners: having more than one tRNA (with a specific anti-codon) for a particular amino acid; and 'wobble' base-pairing, i.e. permitting non-standard base-pairing at the 3rd anti-codon position. The record is from RNAcentral. Lineage: Bacteria; Candidatus Eiseniibacteriota.
GGGGAGGUUCCCGAGUGGUCAAAGGGGGCAGACUGUAAAUCUGCUGGCGAAGCCUUCAGAGGUUCAAAUCCUCUCCUCCCCACCA